UCAACAGCCAUAGAGAAUGAUGUAUGCUGUUUAUCUAAGGAACAGGUGUAGCACGAGCAGCAGCUGUGUAAGCUUCUUCACACUACUCUGCUAGUGUUCCUCAGCCCGGAACUGGAGGGACCACCUCUAGGAGUGAAAAAUGAAGCUCUGUCUCCAUAGCCCAUUCUGUCUCGAGUCACA
RNAcentral lists this small RNA (180 nucleotides) under Sphenodon punctatus (tuatara). Its description in RNAcentral is "TUC338 (ENSSPUG00000017856.1)". The record is from RNAcentral. Lineage: Eukaryota; Metazoa; Chordata; Lepidosauria; Sphenodontia; Sphenodontidae.